CCAAUAGCGUAUAUUAAAGUUGUUGCAGUUAAAAAGCUCGUAGUUGAAUUUCGGGGUUUAUCCGUUGGUCGGGCUUUUGGGUCUGUACUGGCGUGAUGGAUUCCUACCUUCUGAAUAACCAGCAUGUCAUUAAUUUGGUGCGCUGGGGAAGCAGGACUGUUACCUUGAAAAAAUUAGAGUGCUUAAAGCAGGCUAUUGCCUGAAUACAUUAGCAUGGAAUAAUGAAAUAGGACGCAUGGUUCUAUUUUGUUGGUUUCUAGGAUCACCGUAAUGAUUAAUAGGGAUAGUUGGGGGCAUUAGUAUUCAAUUGUCAGAGGUGAAAUUCUUGGAUUUAUUGAAGACUAACUUCUGCGAAAGCAUUUGCCAAGGAUGUUUUCAUUAAUCAAGAACGAAAGUUAGGGGAUCGAAGACGAUCAGAUACCGUCGUAGUCUUAACCAUAAACUAUGCCGACUAGGGAUCGGACGAUGUUAAUUUUUUAAUGACUCGUUCGGCGCCUUACG
Molecule: ribosomal RNA, 501 nt
Filed under: uncultured Glomeromycotina
Lineage: Eukaryota; Fungi; Glomeromycota
Description: partial small subunit ribosomal RNA
Rfam family: Eukaryotic small subunit ribosomal RNA
Source: RNAcentral